AAGUCGUAACAAGGUUUCCGUAGGUGAACCUGCGGAAGGAUCAUUAACGAGCGAGGGUCUUCAGGCCCGAACCUCCCACCCUNUGCGUACCUUACCGUUGUUGCUUUGGCGGGCCCGUGGGGAUCCCCCCCCGCUGGCUCCGGCUCGCGAGCGCCCGCCGGAGUCCCCCAAAUUCUUUAUUAUCCCGGGAUGUCUGAGCACUAUCUAAUAGUUUUAAAACUUUCAACAACGGAUCUCUUGGUUCUGGCAUCGAUGAAGAACGCAGCGAAAUGCGAUAAGUAAUGUGAAUUGCAGAAUCCAGUGAAUCAUCGAAUCUUUGAACGCACAUUGCGCCCCUUGGUAUUCCGAGGGGCAUGCCUGUUCGAGCGUCAUUACACCCCUCAAGCGCUGCUUGGUUUUUGGGCUUCGUCCCCCGGGACGGGCCUCAAAGUUAGUGGCGGUGCGGCCUGACUCCAAGCGUAGUAACUGCCCAUUCGCUUCGGGAGCCUUCAGGUCGGGCCUGCCAGACAACCCGCACUACUUUCAACGGUUGACCUCGGAUCAGGUAGGGAUACCCGCUGAACUUAA
Molecule: ribosomal RNA, 567 nt
Filed under: Ophioparma ventosa
Lineage: Eukaryota; Fungi; Ascomycota; Lecanoromycetes; Umbilicariales; Ophioparmaceae
Description: eukaryotic LSU rRNA
Rfam family: 5.8S ribosomal RNA (bases 218-371)
Source: RNAcentral